Oncorhynchus keta (chum salmon) is the source of this 2404-nucleotide long non-coding RNA. RefSeq lists it as uncharacterized. The transcript is spliced from 3 exons. Lineage: Eukaryota; Metazoa; Chordata; Actinopteri; Salmoniformes; Salmonidae. The record is from RefSeq and is a predicted model, not a curated record.
UGUUGUGAAUUCCUGUUUACUGUUUGCUGUAUUUUUAGAUAUUGUUUGUUUAUAUUUGAGGCGCUGAGACUGAACCAAUGUCUUGCCUCACGGUUUUAUUUUGGUCAUCUGCACGUCAUCUGACGCCACAGUGUGGGGAAGACAGACAGACGGAUAAGAGAUAGGCAAACAGAUAGGAGAAAUCAUACAAGGCAACAAACAAGUUACCCCACAUUUUUACACUAUAUAAACUGUGAAUGGCAAUCAACUGUGGCUGAGACACUAUCUGGUGUGGAGUGCUCUCUCUCUCUCUACUGGAAGCAUGUCCAGCAUGUCCAACAUCAAAACAACCAUUGCACCUGUCUUGACCUUUGAAGUUCGUAGGAAGGUCAUAAAUCACAUCUAACGAAGAACAAAUCUGUGAACUUUCCUCUCACUGACCUACAGUAAGUGUCAAUUUCAGAGAGUGUGAAAGUGUCCAUUUCAGAAGACCAUUUCAGCAGGCGCACUGCUCCUGUGGUUUGGGAUUGACAGACAGUAUUGGGACACUGUGUGCUCAGGUUUGGGAUUGACAGACAGUAUUGGGACACUGUGUGCUCAGGUUUGGGAUUGACAGACAGUAUUGGGACACUGUGUGCUCAGGUUUGGGAUUGACAGACAGUAUUGGGACACUGCGUCCUCAGGUUUGGGAUUGACAGACAGUAUUGGGACACUGUGUGCUCAGGUUUGGGAUUGACAGACCGUAUUGGGACACUGCGUCCUCAGGUUUGGGAUUGACAGACAGUAUUGGGACACUGCGUCCUCAGGUUUGGGAUUGACAGACAGUAUUGGGACACUGUAGGAAUGGGGCCUGAGACAGGGUGUGUGUGUGUGUGUGUGGUGAGGAGGAAGCUAAGGGAAGUUAAAUAGGUGGGUCACAUUUCACACAGAGAUUGGGGCUCCCGAGUGGCAUAGCGGUCUAAGGCACUGCAUCUCAGUGCUAGAGGCGUCACUACAGACCCUGGUUUGAUUCCAGGCUGUAUCACAACCGGCCAUGAUUGGGAGUCCCAUAGGUUGGCGCACAAAUUGGCCCAGCGUCGUCCGGGUUUUGCCAGGGUAGGCCAUCAUAGUAAAUAAGAAUUAGUUCUUAACUGACUUGCCUAGUUAAAUAAAGGUUAAAUAAAAAAAUGUUUAAAAAAUUAAAUUAUCGAGAACGCUGUGGAGAACGCAUGCAUGCAUCACCCUGGGCAACCAUUCCUCACUCCAGCAGCUGAGCUGAGGGGCAACACACACAUUGAGAGGAUGAUGUAUUUUGCAUCUACCAUACAUCUGAGUCAGGGAGAUAAGAGAUAGAGAGAGGAAGAGAGCAGGGUAAUUGCCUCCUGCAAGGGCAGAAGGGGAUUCGCUGUUAGCUGAGUUAGCAGUGUGUCAGGGGAGGGGAAUUACAAUGUGAUAGAACCUACUAGACAGGCUUCUAGAAUCAAUCAUUAUAUUGAAGACAUUGUCACGAUCUAUUAUUUAUCUUCACACAGGAAAUGAUAUCACCUUCUCUUUUCUUUAUCAUCAUAGCUGUUGUUAUUAACUCUUUAAUAGGGUGAAAAUAAUUCAGUAUUUAGCAGGGAAGUUCAGAGAACUACAGAUGAAUCAGCAUGCUAUGAUUGAAUGCGAAAAUGAGAGGUAGACUGUCAGGAAAAGAGAGAACGUCCUGGUUAGAGGGCAGGAUAUGGGUAACCGCAUAAGAGUGCAGGCUAUUAACCACAGUGAGGCACUAAUCUGUCCUUAUGACAAGUAUAACCCCAGAACCGGAGUGGUGAGCACUUUCUUUCUCUUCACCAUCUUGCUCUCUGUGUGUUCCUCCCUCUCUCCCUCUCUCCCUCUCUCUUUCUUCAGAGUUCCUGUGUUACACUAUGUUGGCAUCAGAAUGGGCAGUCAGUGCCAGCACUUGGUCUCCAAGCAACCAGACACCUCCAGCUUUAUCUGUAGCAGAGGCUGACCUUAAAUAAAUAUAUGACCUGUCAGCCACCCAGGCCCAGGACUGUAUUUUUACACUGCCAGUACCGCAAAAAACACGGUAACACACACGUACUGGCAGAAACAUUACACAGUAAACUCACACACAAUCAUGCACACCACAUGCACACAGACCAACAAAUAUCCACAUAUUAUAAUAUACUGCAUAUCCAAACCCAGUUUACACAAGGCAAGUCAACAGGAAAGUGUGAAGAAUUCUAUUAAAUUGUUUCCCCUGUGGCUCUCAGAACCCAGCGGUGCUCUGGCUGUAGACUGUUGUUUGUCUCCUUUGGGUUACAGUCAGCUACAGUGGCUGAAAUACACACUAUAUUUUACAGCUGCGUGCUCAUACUAUACUCUGUUUUAUUAUACGAGGUGUUAUUAAAUUCUGUUCUGCUCAGCUCUAUUCUAUCAGAAAAUAGAACCAUGAGGAUCU